This 668-nucleotide ribosomal RNA is filed under the name Penthaleus major. RNAcentral describes it as "partial large subunit ribosomal RNA". It matches the Rfam family "Eukaryotic large subunit ribosomal RNA", at positions 455 to 838 of the family's 3401-position model. Lineage: Eukaryota; Metazoa; Arthropoda; Arachnida; Trombidiformes; Penthaleidae. The record is from RNAcentral.
UACAGGUUCUAAAUCUCUGGGACCAAGUAACCCUUGUGUAUGCCUCCCAAUGGUGGCGCAUUUUCCAUUCUCUCGUGUUCGAGCCAUGACCAAUGGUGCUGAUGGUCUCUGUAAAUGCCUUCACGGGCAGUCACUGGUCUCCAAGCAUGCCUAUUCUACCCUUCGGUAGGUAGGUUGAUUGGUGUCAGUGGUAAGCAGGCGACCUGAACCUAUUGGGAUAUACAAAUCUCUGCUUACAGGGUGAUGUUGACAGAAUGCCUUUUGCCUGGCGCCUGACGUUUCAUCAUAUCUGGGAAUCCUUUCUUUACUAUGUACUGAAAGAUCUCGGUAUCUGGGACCUUCUCAGGUGUCUGUGCAGUUGAGGUAUCUGUUGAACUAGUAUGAUCUAUGGCCAGUAGGUCGGUCAUCCACCCGACCCGUCUUGAACACGGACCAAGGAGUCUAACAUGAUGCGCAAGUCGAUCAGUCUUGAUUACGCUUGAUAGGCGUAAUGAAAGUAAUACUUGUUGCUAUCCUUGUGGUAGUGAUAGUAUGACCUGUACUCAGGCCUUGCUGCUUACGGCAGUAGGUUGCUGGCAGGAGCAAUACUGGCCCGUCUAUACUGCUUUUGUCAGUUUGGCGGAGUCUGAGCGCAUACGUUGGUACCCGAAAGAUGGUGAACUAUGCCU